RNAcentral lists this ribosomal RNA (253 nucleotides) under uncultured bacterium. RNAcentral's name for it is "partial 16S ribosomal RNA". It matches the Rfam family "Bacterial small subunit ribosomal RNA", at positions 524 to 776 of the family's 1533-position model. The record is from RNAcentral.
UACGUAGGGACCAAGCGUUGUUCGGAUUUACUGGGCGUAAAGGGCGCGUAGGCGGCCUAGCAAGUCACUUGUGAAAUCUCCGGGCUUAACUCGGAACUGCCAAGUGAAACUGCCAGGCUAGAGUGCAGAAGGGGCAAUCGGAAUUCUUGGUGUAGCGGUGAAAUGCGUAGAUAUCAAGAGGAACACCUGAGGUGAAGACGGGUUGCUGGGCUGACACUGACGCUGAGGCGCGAAUGCCAGGGGAGCAAACGGG